RNAcentral lists this long non-coding RNA (519 nucleotides) under Callithrix jacchus (white-tufted-ear marmoset). RNAcentral's name for it is "lncRNA (ENSCJAG00000064515.2)". Lineage: Eukaryota; Metazoa; Chordata; Mammalia; Primates; Cebidae. The record is from RNAcentral.
GUUGUACAGAUGGUUCAACACACACAAAUCAAGGAAUGUGAUAUACUACAUCAGCAGAAUUAAGAAAAAAAUAUGUAUCUCAAUGAAUGUAGAAAGAGCGGUUUAUAAAAUUCAGCAUUUCUUCAUGAUUAAAACACUCAUCAGGUUAGGUAGAGAAGGAACACGCCUUAAAACAAUAAAGGCGUUGCGGGGGGAGGCGGAUUUCCAAGAUGGCGGAAUAGGAAUAGCUCUGAAGUGCAGUUCCCAGGGAGAGCAACACAAAGGACACGGAGCAUAUUCACACAUUCUCCAGGGGCAACGAAUCCAGUUCUCAUCCAGCUACUUAAAACAGCUGAAGAUAAAAGAUGACAAGCAUGGAAUUAGUGGAUUUUCAUUUCAAAAUAUCACGAAUUUGGAUGGAUAUUUCACCUCUGGGUACAAUAUGUGGCUGAGUCUGCUGGGUGAUAGCUGGUCCAGAAAGAAGAUGGAGAAAUAGGAUCUUAAUUAACAGUUCUAUCAAUCUACCAAUGCCAAUUUGAG